Molecule: transfer RNA, 144 nt
Filed under: Bombyx mori (domestic silkworm)
Lineage: Eukaryota; Metazoa; Arthropoda; Insecta; Lepidoptera; Bombycidae
Rfam family: tRNA
About the family: Transfer RNA (tRNA) molecules are approximately 80 nucleotides in length. Their secondary structure includes four short double-helical elements and three loops (D, anti-codon, and T loops).
Source: Rfam by way of RNAcentral
UGCCUUGUCGUUCAGGGCAAAGUAGAAGGCCCUAGACCUCGUGGAAGGUUGCCCAUGUGAUGGACGGACCAAGUUGAACGGUCGUCUGGUAAGUGACAUGGUCACUACACAAGGGGGUCGCGGGUUCGAAUCCCGCCAAGGGAA